RNAcentral lists this long non-coding RNA (259 nucleotides) under Homo sapiens (human). Its description in RNAcentral is "HSALNT0362449". The record is from RNAcentral. Lineage: Eukaryota; Metazoa; Chordata; Mammalia; Primates; Hominidae.
CCACAUAUUGAUUCUACAAAGCUCUUCCAGGAAAUUUCACUCAGAUUUUAUUGGCCAGAGCAGGUUACAAGAGCAUGCCUAACAACAGAUUUCCUGCCAAGGAAAGAGAUAUUCACCCAUUGUAAACCAUUAAAUGAAUUCUCUACUACGAGUGAGCACCUUGAGAGCUGGACAAGACAAGAACAAACAGUUUGAGUGACAUGCACCUGCCCCACAGAAAGACGGAGUGUCAAGUACGUGAAUGAGGAUGCGGAAGACA